GAUGAACGCUGGCGGCGUGCCUAAUACAUGCAAGUCGAGCGAACAGACGAGGAGCUUGCUCCUCUGACGUUAGCGGCGGACGGGUGAGUAACACGUGGAUAACCUACCUCUAAGACUGGGAUAACUUCGGGAAACCGGAGCUAAUACCGGAUAAUAUCUUGAACCGCAUGGUUCAAUAGUGUAAGACGGUUUUGCUGUCACUUAUAGAUGGAUCCGCGCCGCAUUAGCUAGUUGGUAAGGUAACGGCUUACCAAGGGAAGGAUGCGUAGCCGACCUGAGAGGGUGAUCGGCCACACUGGAACUGAGACACGGUCCAGACUCCUACGGGAGGCAGCAGUAGGGAAUCUUCCGCAAUGGGCGAAAGCCUGACGGAGCAACGCCGCGUGAGUGAUGAAGGUCUUCGGAUCGUAAAACUCUGUUAUUAGGGAAGAACAAAUGUGUAAGUAACUAUGCACGUCUUGACGGUACCUAAUCAGAAAGCCACGGCUAACUACGUG
This 497-nucleotide ribosomal RNA is filed under the name uncultured bacterium. RNAcentral describes it as "partial 16S ribosomal RNA". It matches the Rfam family "Bacterial small subunit ribosomal RNA", at positions 28 to 507 of the family's 1533-position model. The record is from RNAcentral.